Molecule: unclassified non-coding RNA, 184 nt
Filed under: soil metagenome
Description: partial internal transcribed spacer 1
Source: RNAcentral
AAAGAUAUAGCAUAUUCUUCUGAAUAUACUUUAUAAACCUAUUCCGAGUACCUUACCCGUUGCUUCCGCGAGGCUGUCCUCACGGCCCUCUGAAGAUUUAUCUUUGGGGAGUCCUUGCGGAAGGUAUACAAUAAACUCUUGCAUUACCAUGUCAUCUGUCUGAAUCUGUUUAAAACAAAUAUUA